RNAcentral lists this ribosomal RNA (367 nucleotides) under uncultured organism. RNAcentral describes it as "bacterial SSU rRNA". It matches the Rfam family "Bacterial small subunit ribosomal RNA", at positions 527 to 896 of the family's 1533-position model. The record is from RNAcentral.
GUAGGACGCAAGCGUUAUCCGGAGUUACUGGGCGUAAAGCGCGGGCAGGCGGCUGUCUAAGUCUGAUGUGAAAGCGCCCGGCUUAACCGGGCGAGGCCAUUGGAAACUGGAGAGCUGGAGGGCAGUAGAGGCAGGCGGAAUUCCGGGUGGAGUGGUGAAAUGCGUAGAGAUCCGGAGGAACACCAGAGGCGAAGGCGGCCUGCUGGGCUGCACCUGACGCUGAGCCGCGAAAGCCAGGGGAGCGAACGGGAUUAGAAACCCCGGUAGUCCUGGCCGUAAACGAUGUGUGCUGGAUGAUGGCGCGAACGCGUCGUUGUCGAAGCUAACGCGAUAAGCACACCGCCUGGGGAGUACGGUCGCAAGGCUA